AACGAACGCUGGCGGCGCGCCUAACACAUGCAAGUCGUACGCGAAAGUAGGCUUCGGUCUGCGAGUAGAGUGGCGAACGGGUGAGUAACACGUGGGUAACCUGCCCUCGAGACUGGGAUAACCAGGGGAAACUCUGGCUAAUACCGGAUACGUCGCGGAGAGCUCCGGCUCACCGCGGGAAAGGUGGCCUCUUCUUGAAAGCUACCGCUCUUGGAUGGGCCCGCGGACCAUUAGCUUGUUGGUGGGGUAACGGCUCACCAAGGCUGUGAUGGUUAGCUGGUCUGAGAGGAUGAUCAGCCACACUGGGACUGACACACGGCCCAGACUCCUACGGGAGGCAGCAGUGGGGAAUCUUGCGCAAUGGGGGAAACCCUGACGCAGCGACGCCGCGUGGGUGAUGAAGGAUCUUGGUUCGUAAAGCCCUGUCAGGUGUGAAGAAUCCCCCCGGGGCGAACAGCCUCGGGGGAUGACGGUAGCACCUGAGGAAGCACCGGCUAACUCCGUGCCAGCAGCCGCAGUAACAC
RNAcentral lists this ribosomal RNA (524 nucleotides) under uncultured bacterium. RNAcentral's name for it is "bacterial SSU rRNA". It matches the Rfam family "Bacterial small subunit ribosomal RNA", at positions 28 to 526 of the family's 1533-position model. The record is from RNAcentral.